UCUUCCGACCGCUUUCCCCAGCGGGCUGAGUUCUGUAUCCUAAAUUUCUAGGGAGGCAAAGCCACGAAGGAGGUUGGGUGUCCUGCAGGAGGCAUUUAUUGCUGGCUACAUAAGAUCCUGCGGGCUGCGUGCCGUAGGUUCUCCUGCUGGGAGAAACGAAUAUGAGCUUAAAUUGUUUUGAAAUUUUCUCCCUGUAGAAUUUAUUGCUCUAAUAUCUAAGAGGCUGAGGGUGCUUUUUGGUUCUGCUGCUCGUGCUGGACAAUGUAGAUGAGGGGUAAGGAAGAUGCAGUUGUGACUAAGUUGGAUUGAAUGUCCCUUCUGGGAUGUAUCGUAGCAAUUGUUUAGUGCGUCCUCCUGCAAAGUCUCUGAGAUGUAGGAGUCUGCCUAGCAAUGGCGAGCUCAAAAUAUAGGGAAAUUCCAGUGUUUUGGAUGGUGCCAGUGUGGAUUUUUUUUUUUUUUUUUAGCUGAAAGCACAGCUGCUUUGGAGAAAAUACCUGCAGGGAGAAAGUGGUGUCAAGGCUUUCUGAGCAGAGGGAGGGCGGGCUUGAUUCCCUCACCUGCUCCCUGGGUUUGUGCUCCCCGAGGAGCUCCUGGGAAGGGUACCCAGUGCCUACCUGCAAUUCUGGAGCUGGGCUUGGUCCCCCCAGGACGUGCCUUUGAACAAACAGCAAAGAGAGGCAGUCCUAAAAGCAAUCUAGUUGAAAAGAGGCAUUACUCAGUGGGCUUUCGGUUUGUGGGGUGUGUUUGGGGAAGGGGGAGUUGUUUUUCUGCAUGUUUACCAGGGCCUCCGGUUCCUGCAGCAGAGACUGGCACGACAACAGAGUGGAGCUGAUUCUCUCGGGGCUGGCACUGCGUAAUCAAAUGCAAGGCUUUGAGAUUUUGUCUUAUCCUGUGAAGAUGUGAGUUUUCAGCAGGCACGAGGAAGGCGACGUUCCUCCCGCAGCGUCUUUGGAGGACGGCUCGUUGCCACGGUGAAUACCAAGAACAUUGUGGAGGAUGCUGCUGCACGGCACUCCACUGCACGAUGAGGCAUCCUUCAUUUUUCGAGAUGAUGCGUCAAGAACUACAAGCCACAGAUGAGAAAAGUCCUCGUAUUUUACUUUCAGACCUAUUUGCUUAAGUUUAUUUUUAAAAACUAGAGAAUACUUGAAUUUCCUAUGACCCAAAAUCAUUAGUGGAGUUGAAUCUUCCCCAGAACUCAGUUUUGCUAUCCAGCAGAGCACCCUGGAUGAGGUAUCGCAUGCUCAUGGUUUAGACGGUGUAUUUUUUCCUGUACUGUCAGUCUGUAUUUUUUAUAAGGGACUGGGGCGUUGGCUCAUUUUUGAGAUGUUCAAGUGUUCUCUACUUUAUAGACUAUAUAUAAUCAGUAAUGGAUGUGGGACUGGAUUGAGUCCAUCCAGCAAUGUAAUACUUUACUGGUAUGUUUGAAA
Harpia harpyja (harpy eagle) is the source of this 1430-nucleotide long non-coding RNA. RefSeq lists it as uncharacterized. The transcript is spliced from 3 exons. The record is from RefSeq and is a predicted model, not a curated record. Lineage: Eukaryota; Metazoa; Chordata; Aves; Accipitriformes; Accipitridae.